CAGAGAUCAUGCAAAACCCCACCAGUCCUGCUCCCAUCUCUCACUAGUCCCCUUUCUGGCUGUACUUGAAAGGCAUUUUUGUCAUCAACAACCUAACUCCUAGUCUGGAACAUCCUUCAUAAAGGAGUCAUGGAUGUAUUGGAUGAGUCUUAGCUGCUCCAAGCUGUUUAGACGAAGUUUUCUGGCAAAGGUUAUGAAAUGUCUCUGUCUCACUCUCAAUGUUUUUUUCUAGGGAAGAUGGUAAAUGGGACCAUAAGUUUAAUUUGUAGAACUGUUGUUUGCUAGUGCCAUGUGCCAGGGCACUGAUGGGCAGAGUCCUGAGUAGCUGGAGACUGGCACUGCUGAAGAAUUGCUGCGGCUGCUGCAAGAUAUUUGGCGCUUGCAGUGUGUCCAGGUUUCCCUCUCUCUGA
Molecule: long non-coding RNA, 410 nt
Filed under: Parus major (Great Tit)
Lineage: Eukaryota; Metazoa; Chordata; Aves; Passeriformes; Paridae
Description: lncRNA (ENSPMJG00000000720.1)
Source: RNAcentral